GACUCCGUGGCGCAACUGAUUAGCGCGUUGGACGUCUAAUUCAAAGGUUGUGGGUUCGAGUCCCACCGGAGGUG
RNAcentral lists this transfer RNA (74 nucleotides) under Actinia tenebrosa (Australian red waratah sea anemone). Its description in RNAcentral is "tRNA-Arg". It matches the Rfam family "tRNA". Rfam says of the family: Transfer RNA (tRNA) molecules are approximately 80 nucleotides in length. Lineage: Eukaryota; Metazoa; Cnidaria; Anthozoa; Actiniaria; Actiniidae. The record is from Rfam by way of RNAcentral.